GAUGAACGCUGGCGGCGUGCCUAACACAUGCAAGUCGAACGGAAAGGCCCAAGCUUGCUUGGGUACUCGAGUGGCGAACGGGUGAGUAACACGUGGGUGAUCUGCCCUGUACUGCGGGAUAACCCUUGGAAACUGGGGCUAAUACCGCAUAUGACCACUUCAUCGUUGUUGUGGUUGAAAGUUUUUUCGUUCUGGGCUGGGCGGGCGGCCUAUCAGCUUGUUGGUGGGGUAUUGGCGUACCACGGCGUCGACGGGCAGCCGUGCUGCGAGGGUGUACGGCAAAAUUGGGACUGAGAUACGGGCCAGGCUCCUACGGGAGGGAGCAGUGGGGAGUAUUGCACAAUGGGCGGAAGUGUGAUGCAGCGACGCCGCGUGGAGGAUGGCGGUCUUCGGGUUGUAAGCUCCUUUCGCGAAAGACGAAUUUAGGACGGUAUUUGGAGAAGAAGCACCGGCUAACUACGUG
Molecule: ribosomal RNA, 463 nt
Filed under: uncultured bacterium
Lineage: Bacteria
Description: partial 16S ribosomal RNA
Rfam family: Bacterial small subunit ribosomal RNA
Source: RNAcentral